CAUGGUUGUCGUCAGCUCGUGUCGUGAGAUGUUGGGUUAAGUCCCGCAACGAGCGCAACCCUUGAUCUUAGUUGCCAUCAUUAAGUUGGGCACUCUAAGGUGACUGCCGGUGACAAACCGGAGGAAGGUGGGGAUGACGUCAAAUCAUCAUGCCCCUUAUGACCUGGGCUACACACGUGCUACAAUGGACGGUACAAAGAGCUGCAAGACCGCGAGGUGGAGCUAAUCUCAUAAAACCGUUCUCAGUUCGGAUUGUAGGCUGCAACUCGCCUACAUGAAGCUGGAAUCGCUAGUAAUCGCGGAUCA
This 306-nucleotide ribosomal RNA is filed under the name Bacillus sp. Expt2_P13T_D04. RNAcentral describes it as "bacterial SSU rRNA". It matches the Rfam family "Bacterial small subunit ribosomal RNA", at positions 1044 to 1351 of the family's 1533-position model. The record is from RNAcentral. RNAcentral also lists the same sequence under 8 other names. Lineage: Bacteria; Bacillati; Bacillota; Bacilli; Caryophanales; Bacillaceae.